CGCGGCCUAUCAGCUUGUUGGUGAGGUAACGGCUCACCAAGGCAUCGACGGGUAGCUGGUCUGAGAGGACGAUCAGCCACACUGGGACUGAGACACGGCCCAGACCCCUACGGGAGGCAGCAGUAGGGAAUCUUGCGCAAUGGGCGAAAGCCUGACGCAGCAACGCCGCGUGGGGGAUGAAUGCUUUCGGGUUGUAAACCCCUUUCAGCAGGGACGAAAAUGACGGUACCUGCAGAAGAAGCUCCGGCCAACUACGUGCCAGCAGCCGCGGUAAUACGUAGGGAGCGAGCGUUGUCCGGAAUUAUUGGGCGUAAAGAGCUCGUAGGCGGUUCAGUAAGUCGGGUGUGAAAACUCAAGGCUCAACCUUGAGACGCCACUCGAUACUGCUGUGACUUGAGUCCGGUAGAGGAGUGUGGAAUUCCUGGUGUAGCGGUGAAAUGCGCAGAUAUCAGGAGGAACACCAGCGGCGAAGGCGGCACUCUGGGCCGGUACUGACGCUGAGGAGCGAAAGCAUGGGGAGCAAACAGGAUUAGAUACCCUGGUAGUCCUUGCCGUAAACGUUGGGCACUAGGUAUGGGAUCAUAUCAACGGAUUCCGUGCCGUAGCUAACGCAUUAAGUGCCCCGCCUGGGGAGUACGG
RNAcentral lists this ribosomal RNA (639 nucleotides) under uncultured Actinomycetes bacterium. Its description in RNAcentral is "bacterial SSU rRNA". It matches the Rfam family "Bacterial small subunit ribosomal RNA", at positions 232 to 885 of the family's 1533-position model. Lineage: Bacteria; Bacillati; Actinomycetota; Actinomycetes. The record is from RNAcentral.